Molecule: ribosomal RNA, 1153 nt
Filed under: uncultured bacterium
Lineage: Bacteria
Description: bacterial SSU rRNA
Rfam family: Bacterial small subunit ribosomal RNA
Source: RNAcentral
AGAGUUUGAUCCUGGCUCAGGACGAACGCUGGCGGCAUGCCUAAUACAUGCAAGUCGAGCGGAGUUGAUAGGAAGCUUGCUUCCUUGAUACUUAGCGGCGGACGGGUGAGUAACACGUAGGCAACCUGCCCUCAAGUUUGGGACAACUACCGGAAACGGUAGCUAAUACCGAAUAAUUGUUUUCUUCGCCUGAAGGAAACUGGAAAGACGGAGCAAUCUGUCACUUGGGGAUGGGCCUGCGGCGCAUUAGCUAGUUGGUGAGGUAACGGCUCACCAAGGCGACGAUGCGUAGCCGACCUGAGAGGGUGAUCGGCCACACUGGGACUGAGACACGGCCCAGACUCCUACGGGAGGCAGCAGUAGGGAAUCUUCCGCAAUGGGCGAAAGCCUGACGGAGCAAUGCCGCGUGAGUGAUGAAGGUUUUCGGAUCGUAAAGCUCUGUUGCCAGGGAAGAACGCUUGGGAGAGUAACUGCUCUCAAGGUGACGGUACCUGAGAAGAAAGCCCCGGCUAACUACGUGCCAGCAGCCGCGGUAAUACGUAGGGGGCAAGCGUUGUCCGGAAUUAUUGGGCGUAAAGCGCGCGCAGGCGGUCAUUUAAGUCUGGUGUUUAAUCCCGGGGCUCAACCCCGGAUCGCACUGGAAACUGGGUGACUUGAGUGCAGAAGAGGAGAGUGGAAUUCCACGUGUAGCGGUGAAAUGCGUAGAUAUGUGGAGGAACACUAUUGGCGAAGGCGACUCUCUGGGCUGUAACUGACGCUGAGGCGCGAAAGCGUGGGGAGCAAACAGGAUUAGAUACCCUAGUAGUCCACGCCGUAAACGAUGAGUGCUAGGUGUUAGGGGUUUCGAUACCCUUGGUGACGAAGUUAACACAUUAAGCACUCCGCCUGGGGAGUACGGUCGGCAGACUGAAACUCGAAAGGAAUUGACGGGCACCCGCACUAGCAGUGCGAGUAUGUGGCUUAUUACGACGCAACACUUAGGAACAUUACCAUGUCUCGACAUCCUUUUGACCGGACUAGAGAUAGGUCUUUUUCUUCGGGUACAAAGAAGCAAGCUGGUGCAUUGGAAGUCCGUCAGCCUCUGCUCAGGGAAAUGUUCGGUUAAAACCCCUUACAGAGCCCAACACUAUAUGCUUUAGUUUGCCGGCCAUUA